Molecule: RNA transcript, 434 nt
Organism: Bombus terrestris (buff-tailed bumblebee)
Lineage: Eukaryota; Metazoa; Arthropoda; Insecta; Hymenoptera; Apidae
Exons: 4
Source: RefSeq, a predicted model, not a curated record
CGUUUAACACGUACAAAUAGUAAGGCUUACCAAUAAGAUUGCAAGAUAUAUGUAUUGCAGUAUUAAUUAAACCAGAUUAAACUUUACAAGAUAACCAAUAGCAAAAACAAAAUUUACGUAUAUAAUUCAAUAUACUUUAUGAUAUUUAUUUACUUUUAGGCAUAUUAAUAAAAAUUCUUCAGGAAGCAGUUAGAUACAGGAUACAGAGUUAUUCGUUUAACUCGGAGGAACCCGCGCUCGCGAGAACAUUCAAAAUGGCAACAGUGCAACAUGCAUCCGGAGUUUCUAUGAAUGUUCGAUCUCACUUUGCUUCCCAUCAUGAUGGUAAAGUUGGUUGUCGACGGUUAAAUUUUGGAAACGGUGGUAGACAAAGCACCACUACCAGUACCACUCAACAACCUUAACACAGAAAAACUGAGAUAAAUGGAAUAGAA